CCGUGUCCAAUACAAAUCCCACCACUUACCCGUUUUUUCUCUAAGUUCUGGGGAUUUGUAUUGGACACGGUGAAUGGUUUACCGUGUCCAAUACAACUAGCCAACCUUCGCCCUUUUUUUGGCGCCAAAAACCAAAUCAAAAUAUAUUUCACAACAUCGGCAUAUUUUUGGAGCAAAAAAUAAAAUCAAUACACAUCACAACAUCACAGCACAACAAUACAAUACAGAUACCUAAACGCAACAGUACAAUACAACAUCACAGCAUCACAACACAACAGUACAAUAUACACAUCACUACCAACAGAAUCUCAAUAAAUUAUCAAUACCAGAUAAUCACAAUAGAAUAUCCAAAAUUAAAGCAAGUUUUACAAUAAUAUAGAAAUAUAAUAUCACAUUCUCCUCCUACCCCCUCGACUACGUCGACUACCACGUCCGCGACCACGAUCAACACUAUGCUCAUCAAAAGGCUCUAAGAUCUCCAACUGGUCC
RNAcentral lists this long non-coding RNA (489 nucleotides) under Ananas comosus (pineapple). RNAcentral describes it as "long non-coding RNA (ACOM_LNC029415)". Lineage: Eukaryota; Viridiplantae; Streptophyta; Magnoliopsida; Poales; Bromeliaceae. The record is from RNAcentral.